RNAcentral lists this ribosomal RNA (620 nucleotides) under uncultured Acidobacteriota bacterium. RNAcentral's name for it is "bacterial SSU rRNA". It matches the Rfam family "Bacterial small subunit ribosomal RNA", at positions 441 to 1049 of the family's 1533-position model. The record is from RNAcentral. Lineage: Bacteria; Pseudomonadati; Acidobacteriota.
CGGGAAGAAUAAGUAAGAGCUAACAUCUCUUACGAUGACGGUACUGUUUGUAAGCUCCGGCUAACUCCGUGCCAGCAGCCGCGGUAAUACGGGGGGAGCAAGCGUUGUUCGGAUUUACUGGGCGUAAAGGGCGCGUAGGCGGCCACCGCAAGUCGACUGUGAAAUCUCCGGGCUUAACCCGGAAAGGUCAGCCGAUACUGCGGGGCUAGAGUGCAGAAGGGGCAACUGGAAUUCUCGGUGUAGCGGUGAAAUGCGUAGAUAUCGAGAGGAACACCUGCGGCGAAGGCGGGUUGCUGGGCUGACACUGACGCUGAGGCGCGAAAGCUAGGGGAGCGAACGGGAUUAGAUACCCCGGUAGUCCUAGCCUUAAACGAUGAAUGCUUGGUGUCUGGGGUUUUAUAGUCCCCGGGUGCCGUCGCUAACGCUUUAAGCAUUCCGCCUGGGGAGUACGGUCGCAAGACUGAAACUCAAAGGAAUUGACGGGGACCCGCACAAGCGGUGGAGCAUGUGGUUUAAUUCGACGCAACGCGAAGAACCUUACCUGGGCUAGAAUGCCUCUGACCGGCGUAGAGAUACGCCUUCCUGGGUAAAACCAGGCAGAGUGCAAGGUGCUGCAUGGC